AACGAACGCUGGCGGUAUGCUUUACACAUGCAAGUCGAACGAACUGUUGGUAGCUUGCUAUCAACAGUUAGUGGCAAACGGGUGAGUAACGCGUGGGAAUCUACCCUAUAGUUGGGGACAACAUAUGGAAACGUAUGCUAAUACCGAAUGUGCUCUAAGGAGUAAAGGAGCCCUCUUCUUGAAAGGUUUCGCUAUAGGAUGAGCCCGCGUGAGAUUAGCUAGUUGGUAAGGUAAUGGCUUACCAAGGCAACGAUCUCUAGCUGGUUUGAGAGGAUGAUCAGCCACACUGGGACUGAGACACGGCCCAGACUCCUACGGGGAGGCAGCAGUGGGGAAUAUUGCACAAUGAGCGAAAGCUUGAUGCAGCCAUACCGCGUGUGUGAAGAAGGCCCGAGGGUUGUAAAGCACUUUCAAUUGUGAGGAAGAUAGUGUAGCGAAUAACUGCAUUGUUUGACGUUAACUUUAGAAGAAGCACCGGCU
This 480-nucleotide ribosomal RNA is filed under the name uncultured bacterium. Its description in RNAcentral is "bacterial SSU rRNA". It matches the Rfam family "Bacterial small subunit ribosomal RNA", at positions 29 to 498 of the family's 1533-position model. The record is from RNAcentral.